RNAcentral lists this ribosomal RNA (433 nucleotides) under uncultured bacterium. RNAcentral's name for it is "partial 16S ribosomal RNA". It matches the Rfam family "Bacterial small subunit ribosomal RNA", at positions 29 to 507 of the family's 1533-position model. The record is from RNAcentral.
AACGAACGCUGGCGGCAUGCCUAACACAUGCAAGUCGAACGAGACCUUCGGGUCUAGUGGCGCAUGGGUGCGUAACGCGUGGGAACCUUCCCUUAGGUUCGGAAUAACUCCCCGAAAGGGGUGCUAAUACCGGAUAAUGUCUUCGGACCAAAGAUUUAUCGCCUUUGGAUGGGCCCGCGUUGGAUUAGCUAGUUGGUAGGGUAAAAGCCUACCAAGGCGACGAUCCAUAGCUGGUCUGAGAGGAUGAUCAGCCACACUGGGACUGAGACACGGCCCAGACUCCUACGGGAGGAAGCAGUGGGGAAUAUUGGACAAUGGGCGAAAGCCUGAUCCAGCAAUGCCGCGUGAGUGAUGAAGGCCUUAGGGUUGUAAAGCUCUUUUAACCGGGAUGAUAAUGACAGUACCGGGAGAAUAAGCGCCGGCUAACUCCGUG